This is a long non-coding RNA of Oenanthe melanoleuca, 1734 nucleotides long. RefSeq lists it as uncharacterized. The record is from RefSeq and is a predicted model, not a curated record. The transcript is spliced from 4 exons. NCBI's taxonomy places the organism in Eukaryota, Metazoa, Chordata, Aves, Passeriformes, Muscicapidae.
GUAACUUCAGUUAAUGGAUUAAUUUUAAAUAUCAUAUGUCUGUUCAACACAACCCCAGAAAAACUAUUUUUAAUUUUUUUAGCAAUCCUUGUAGUUAUAUUGACACUGGGAAGGGUCCCGGUGAUGCUGCAGGACCUGGCAACUUAAAGUGUUGGCCAGUUCUCUUCACAGCGUGGUGACAAAACAAUUAUUUUCUAGCUGGAGAAUCAAGGUGAUGCUGCAGGACCCGGCAACAUAAACUGGAGAAUCCAAACCCAAAAAUCAGACCCAACGCUGAGGAAAAAGGGGGCGAGCCGGGGGGCUGAGGCUUCACAACCUGGGGCUGCUGUUGGAAAAUUGACCCCAAGAUGAACCAAAACUUUCAAAAAUGUAAAACUCGUGACCAGGAUCCAUCUUGGAUUUGAUUUGGGUGCAGCCCCAGCCGGGCUCUUGCACUGCCCGAGGUGCGAGUCGAUGUGUUUGACCAGCGCAUCGUCCGGGUAGCCGAUGGGGAAAGCCAGCUGGCACAGCGGGCAGCUCCGCACCUCCGAGUCCGCCGUCUCCAGCAGCAGCUGCGCACGGGAGGGGCACAGAGCCGGGCUGAGACCCUGCCCACAGCGGGCACCCCCUCCCCAAAACCCUCUGGCUUGGGUUGAUGUGGAUAGAAAUGUGGAUUCUGUCACAUCUGUUAAACCGGGUGGGGCAGUGAUUCCUUGUCUCCUGGUACAAAUGAUCUGCUAAUGGGACAUUAAAACCAGCUGGGGAAAUCAUCUUUAUCUUUCCAUGAUCCACCCUUGAUCCAGGAGGUAUCUCCUGUUAAUGGGCCAGGUGUUAAACCAGGUGAGCAGUGAUCCUUAUCUCUGUGGGGAUAUCUCCUGUUAAUGGGUCAGGUGUUAAAAACCAGCUGGGCAAUCAUCUUUAUCUUCCCACAGCCCAUCCUCCCUCCAGGAGAUAUCUCCUGUUCAUGGCCACUGAGUCCCAGGGCAUGACUGAUAAAAUUCCAUCAUCCCACUGGGAGAUGCUCCAGCCAGGGGAGGAGCCAAACAUUUCCUACCCAGAUAAAAACUGAGAUUUUGGAACAGCAAGUUUCAUCUUUCCACUGGAUUCCAGAGGAAAACCAGAGCUUUCCACAUCAUCCCUGGAGCUUCAGAGGAAACUGCACCUUCUCCAGGAGCACUGCUCCAGCUGAACCACAUCUGCCCCUGCAGGAGGAUGCAGCCACCAUUGAAUGGGACUGUGCCAACACCCUGACUGACUGACGGGUGUCAGCUUGGAUUCUGACCCUGGCAGGGUUUGGGAUUGUUCUUUGUAAUACUGCAUUUCUAUUUUAAUUUUCCUGGUAAAGAACUGUUAUUCCUAAUUCCAUAUCUUUAGCUGGGAACCCCUUAAUUUCAAAAUUAUAUUAAUUUGGAGGGACGGGGUUUACAUUCUCCAUUUCAAAGAGGAGCUGCUGCCUUUAUUGGCAGACACCUGUCCUUAAACCAGGACACCCUGUUCCUUGGAGCAAUGAUCUCCACAUACAAUAGUCCAUAAAUCUCCCACCUUCUGGCCAGAGGCCACUCUCUUUGGAAAAGGACUAUAAAAAGUGACUUUCCUAAAGAGACUCUGGGAUCUCUUUCUCCCCAAGGGAUUGAAGACGUGUCUGUCAUCGGACAACUCAAGGAUGUGUCCCGUCUGUUGGUAGCUACAUCCCAUCCUCUCUCUUUCUCUCUCUCUCCUUUUUACCUCUUUCUCUCUCUCUCCUUCUAUCACCAA